RNAcentral lists this ribosomal RNA (720 nucleotides) under uncultured bacterium. RNAcentral describes it as "bacterial SSU rRNA". It matches the Rfam family "Bacterial small subunit ribosomal RNA", at positions 62 to 773 of the family's 1533-position model. The record is from RNAcentral.
UCGAGGGGCAGCGAGUAGAUUGCUUGCAAUCUACGUCGGCGACCGGCGCACGGGUGCGUAACGCGUAUGCAACCUACCCAUUACAGGGGGAUAACACUGAGAAAUCGGUACUAAUACCCCAUAACAUCCAGGGAGGCAUCUUCUUGGGUUGAAAACUCCGGUGGUAAUGGAUGGGCAUGCGUUGUAUUAGUUAGUUGGUGGGGUAACGGCUCACCAAGACGACGAUACAUAGGGGGACUGAGAGGUUAACCCCCCACAUUGGUACUGAGACACGGACCAAACUCCUACGGGAGGCAGCAGUGAGGAAUAUUGGUCAAUGGACGCAGGCCUGAACCAGCCAAGUCGCGUGAGGGAAGACUGCCCUAUGGGUUGUAAACCUCUUUUAUAAGGGAAGAAUAAUGACUACGUGUAGUCAGAUGCCCGUACCUUAUGAAUAAGCAUCGGCUAACUCCGUGCCAGCAGCCGCGGUAAUACGGAGGAUGCGAGCGUUAUCCGGAUUUAUUGGGUUUAAAGGGUGCGUAGGCGGUAUUUUAAGUUAGUGGUAAAACGUCGGGGCUUCACCUUGAUUGGCCAUUAAAACUGGAGUACUAGAGUACAGACGAGGUAGGCGGAAUAAGUUAAGUAGCGGUGAAAUGCUUAGAUAUAACUUAGAACCCCGAUAGCGAAGGCAGCUUACCAGACUGUUACUGACGCUGAAGCACGAGAGCGUGGGUAGCGAAC